RNAcentral lists this ribosomal RNA (254 nucleotides) under uncultured prokaryote. RNAcentral's name for it is "partial 16S ribosomal RNA". It matches the Rfam family "Bacterial small subunit ribosomal RNA", at positions 524 to 777 of the family's 1533-position model. The record is from RNAcentral.
UACGGAGGAUCCAAGCGUUAUCCGGAUUUAUUGGGUUUAAAGGGUGCGCAGGUUGUUUGAUAAGUCAGUGGUGAAAGUCUGUCGCUUAACGGUAGGAUUGCCAUUGAUACUGUUAGACUUGAAUAUGGAUGAGGUAGGCGGAAUGUGUAGUGUAGCGGUGAAAUGCAUAGAUAUUACACAGAACACCGAUUGCGAAGGCAGCUUACUAAUCCAUCAUUGACGCUGAGGCACGAAAGCGUGGGGAUCAAACAGGA